RNAcentral lists this ribosomal RNA (301 nucleotides) under uncultured bacterium. Its description in RNAcentral is "partial 16S ribosomal RNA". It matches the Rfam family "Bacterial small subunit ribosomal RNA", at positions 509 to 809 of the family's 1533-position model. The record is from RNAcentral.
CAGCCGCCACGGGAAUACGUAGGUGGCAAGCGUUGUCCGGAAUUAUUGGGCGUAAAGGGCUCGCAGGCGGUUUCUUAAGUCUGAUGUGAAAGCCCCCGGCUCAACCGGGGAGGGUCAUUGGAAACUGGGAAACUUGAGUGCAGAAGAGGAGAGUGGAAUUCCAUGUGUAGCGGUGAAAUGCGUAGAGAUGUGGAGGAACACCAGUGGCGAAGGCGACUCUCUGGUCUGUAACUGACGCUGAGGAGCGAAAGCGUGGGGAGCGAACAGGAUUAGAUACCCGUGUAGUCCCUGUCUCUUAUCC